CUCAGGAAUAAAGCUGCUGUCUCCUCUACGGGAGGAUCCCUGCUGGAGACUGGACACCCUUAGAAUGGAUCCUCAUGGAGACCAGUGGAUGAAAACGGGUCUAAAGAAAUAUUUCUGUGGGCUGACAGUGGAUGUGAACACAGUCCACCGCAAUCUUAAACUGUCUGACAACAAUAGGAAGGUGGUGCACAUGAAAGAGGACCAGC
Molecule: long non-coding RNA, 206 nt
Organism: Haplochromis burtoni (Burton's mouthbrooder)
Lineage: Eukaryota; Metazoa; Chordata; Actinopteri; Cichliformes; Cichlidae
Exons: 3
Source: RefSeq, a predicted model, not a curated record